UACGUAGGGUGCGAGCGUUGUCCGGAAUUAUUGGGCGUAAAGAGCUCGUAGGCGGCUUGUCACGUCGGUUGUGAAAGCCCGGGGCUUAACCCCGGGUCUGCAGUCGAUACGGGCAGGCUAGAGUUCGGUAGGGGAGAUCGGAAUUCCUGGUGUAGCGGUGAAAUGCGCAGAUAUCAGGAGGAACACCGGUGGCGAAGGCGGAUCUCUGGGCAGAUACUGACGCUGAGGAGCGAAAGCGUGGGGAGCGAACAGG
Molecule: ribosomal RNA, 253 nt
Filed under: uncultured bacterium
Lineage: Bacteria
Description: partial 16S ribosomal RNA
Rfam family: Bacterial small subunit ribosomal RNA
Source: RNAcentral